Molecule: ribosomal RNA, 118 nt
Filed under: Fidelibacterota bacterium
Lineage: Bacteria; Pseudomonadati; Fidelibacterota
Source: RNAcentral
UCCGGUGACUAUAGUGCAAAGGAACCACCCGAUCCCAUUUCGAACUCGGAAGUUAAGCUUUGUUACGCCGAUGGUACUUCACGGGAGACCAGUGCGGGAGAGUAGGAAGUUGCCGGUA